Molecule: long non-coding RNA, 234 nt
Filed under: Amborella trichopoda
Lineage: Eukaryota; Viridiplantae; Streptophyta; Magnoliopsida; Amborellales; Amborellaceae
Description: long non-coding RNA (ATRI_LNC001835)
Source: RNAcentral
AAACUCGUAUUUACGGGAAGAGGAAUCAUCUCCUAUUUCUUCCUCCUAUGACUAUGGUGUCCGUUUAUGUAAAUAUUUACAGGGAGGUGGAGGUGGAGGUGGAGGUGGUGCAGGGCUUACACCGGCCUCUGCGGAGGUGGAGGUGGUGGUGGUGCAGGGCUUACACCGGCCUCUUUUUAUUGAAGCUCGAGUGCAGUUUCCCUAAAAAAAAGACAAAAGGGUUUUUCACAGGGG